GACGAACGCUGGCGGCGUGCUUAACACAUGCAAGUCGAACGGAAAGGCCCUGCUUUUGUGGGGUGCUCGAGUGGCGAACGGGUGAGUAACACGUGAGUAACCUGCCCUUGACUUUGAGAUAACUUCAGGAAACUGGGGCUAAUACCGGAUAGGAGCUCCUGCUGCAUGGUGGGGGUUGGAAAGUUUCGGCGGUUGGGGAUGGACUCGCGGCUUAUCAGCUUGUUGGUGGGGUAGUGGCUUACCAAGGCUUUGACGGGUAGCCGGCCUGAGAGGGUGACCGGCCACAUUGGGACUGCGAUACGGCCCAGACUCCUACGGGAGGCAGCAGUGGGGAAUAUUGCACAAUGGGCGGAAGCCUGAUGCAGCAACGCCGCGUGCGGGAUGACGGCCUUCGGGUUGUAAACCGCUUUCGCCUGUGACGAAGCGUGAGUGACGGUAAUGGGUAAAGAAGCACCGGCUAACUACGUG
Molecule: ribosomal RNA, 468 nt
Filed under: uncultured bacterium
Lineage: Bacteria
Description: partial 16S ribosomal RNA
Rfam family: Bacterial small subunit ribosomal RNA
Source: RNAcentral